RNAcentral lists this ribosomal RNA (468 nucleotides) under uncultured bacterium. RNAcentral describes it as "partial 16S ribosomal RNA". It matches the Rfam family "Bacterial small subunit ribosomal RNA", at positions 28 to 507 of the family's 1533-position model. The record is from RNAcentral.
GACGAACGCUGGCGGCGUGCUUAACACAUGCAAGUCGAACGGAAAGGCCCUGCUUUUGUGGGGUGCUAGAGUGGCGAACGGGUGAGUAACACGUGAGUAACCUGCCCUUGACUUUGGGAUAACGUGAGGAAACUGGGGCUAAUACCGGAUAGGAGCUCGUGCUGCAUGGUGGGGGUUGGAAAGUUUCGGCGGUUGGGGAUGGACUCGCGGCUUAUCAGCUUGUUGGUGGGGUAGUGGCUUACCAAGGCUUUGACGGGUAGCCGGCCUGAGAGGGUGACCGGCCACAUUGGCACUGAUAUACGGCCCAGACUCCUACGGGAGGCAGCAGUGGGGAAUAUUGCACAAUGGGCGGAAGCCUUAUGCAGCAACGCCGCGUGCGGGAUGACGGCCUUCGGGUUGUAAACCGCUUUCGCCUGUGACGAAGCGUGAGUGACGGUAAUGGGUAAAGAAGCACCGGCUAACUACGUG